UGCUUUGUGUGAUGACUGGGGUCUG
RNAcentral lists this non-coding RNA (25 nucleotides) under Mus musculus (house mouse). Lineage: Eukaryota; Metazoa; Chordata; Mammalia; Rodentia; Muridae. The record is from RNAcentral.